RNAcentral lists this ribosomal RNA (496 nucleotides) under uncultured bacterium. RNAcentral describes it as "partial 16S ribosomal RNA". It matches the Rfam family "Bacterial small subunit ribosomal RNA", at positions 29 to 507 of the family's 1533-position model. The record is from RNAcentral.
AUGAACGCUGGCGGCGUGCCUAAUACAUGCAAGUCGAGCGAACAGACGAGGAGCUUGCUCCUCUGACGUUAGCGGCGGACGGGUGAGUAACACGUGGAUAACCUACCUAUAAGACUGGGAUAACUUCGGGAAACCGGAGCUAAUACCGGAUAAUAUAUUGAACCGCAUGGUUCAAUAGUGAAAGACGGUUUUGCUGUCACUUAUAGAUGGAUCCGCGCCGCAUUAGCUAGUUGGUAAGGUAACGGCUUACCAAGGCAACGAUGCGUAGCCGACCUGAGAGGGUGAUCGGCCACACUGGAACUGAGACACGGUCCAGACUCCUACGGGAGGCAGCAGUAGGGAAUCUUCUGCAAAGGGCGAAAGCCUGACGGAGCAACGCCGCGUGAGUGAUGAAGGUCUUCGGAUCGUAAAACUCUGUUAUUAGGGAAGAACAAAUGUGUAAGUAACUAUGCACGUCUUGACGGUACCUAAUCAGAAAGCCACGGCUAACUACGUG